GACGAACGCUGGCGGCGUGCUUAACACAUGCAAGUCGAACGGAAAGGCCUUGCCUUUGUGUGGUGCUCGAGUGGCAAACGGGUGAGUAACACGGGAGUAACCUGCUCUUUACUCUGGGAUACCUCCAGGAAACUGGGGCUAAUACCGGAUAGAAGCCCGCAUUGCUUGGUGUGCGUCGGAAAGUUUCGGCGGUUGGGGAUGUGCCGGCGGAUUAUCAGCGUGUUGGUGGGGUUGUGGUUGACCAAGGCUUUGCCGGGUAGCCGGCCUGGGAGGGUGACCGGCCACAUUGGGACUGGGAUGCGGCCCAGACGCCUACGGGAGGCAGCAGUGGGGAAUAUUGCACAAUGGGCGGAAGCGUGAUGCAGCAACGCCGCGUGCGAGAUGACGGCCUUCGGGUUGUAAACCGCUUUCGCCUGUGACGAAGCGUGAGUGACGGUAAUGGGUAAAGAAGCACCGGCUAACUACGU
This 467-nucleotide ribosomal RNA is filed under the name uncultured bacterium. Its description in RNAcentral is "partial 16S ribosomal RNA". It matches the Rfam family "Bacterial small subunit ribosomal RNA", at positions 28 to 506 of the family's 1533-position model. The record is from RNAcentral.